GAUGAACGCUGGCGGCGUGCCUAAUACAUGCAAGUCGAGCGAACAGACGAGGAGCUUGCUCCUCUGACGUUAGCGGCGGACGGGUGAGUAACACGUGGAUAACCUACCUAUAAGACUGGGAUAACUUCGGGAAACCGGAGCUAAUACCGGAUAACAUGUUGAACCGCAUGGUUCAACAGUGAAAGACGGUCUUGCUGUCACUUAUAGAUGGAUCCGCGCCGCAUUAGCUAGUUGGUAAGGUAACGGCUUACCAAGGCAACGAUGCGUAGCCGACCUGAGAGGGUGAUCGGCCCCACUGGAACUGAGACCAGGUCCAGACUCCUACGGGAGGCAGCAGUAGGGAAUCUUCCGGAAAGGGCGGAAGCCUGACGGAGGAACGCCGGGUGGGUGAAAAAGGUCUUUGGAAUGGAAAACCCUGUUAAUAGGGAAGAAAAAAAGUUGAAGGAACUAUGGACGGCUUGACGGUACCUAAUCAAAAAGCCACGGCUAACUACGUG
Molecule: ribosomal RNA, 497 nt
Filed under: uncultured bacterium
Lineage: Bacteria
Description: partial 16S ribosomal RNA
Rfam family: Bacterial small subunit ribosomal RNA
Source: RNAcentral